ACACGACUACAUUAGAUACCCCGGUAGUCCCAGCCCUAAACGAUGCGCGUUAGGUGUAUCGGUGACCACGAGUCACCGAGGUGCCGAAGGGAAACCGUGAAACGUGCCGCCUGGGAAGUACGGUCGCAAGGCUGAAACUUAAAGGAAUUGGCGGGGAGCACCACAGCGGGUGGAGCCUGCGGUUUAAUUGGACUCAACGCCGGGAAGCUCACCGGAUAAGACAGCGGAAUGAUUGCCGGGCUGAAGACCCUGCAUGACCAGCUG
This 264-nucleotide ribosomal RNA is filed under the name uncultured archaeon. RNAcentral's name for it is "partial 16S ribosomal RNA". It matches the Rfam family "Archaeal small subunit ribosomal RNA", at positions 717 to 982 of the family's 1478-position model. The record is from RNAcentral.